GGACGAGGCUUUUUUUUUCCCCCCACUGUUAAAGGGACUACUUGAAGGAAGAAUUUUUGUAAAGCUACUCUUAGCUGUAUAUCCAAAGCAAAUGUUAAGCAAGUUAGCAUGUAGAACGCUUUCCAGAAAAAAAUUUCCUUAUGAAAUUUUUAUUACAUACAAAUAAACCGUAUGCGAAGGAUGUAAGUUUUACGAAUGACAGACAUUAAAAAAUAAUCUCACUUGUAUUCAUUGUCAGAAUUUUGAAUGUUUUCUCAAACACUUUCACUUCCUGAAUGCUAAACAAGAGGGGGGAAAAGUUUCAAGGACAGGUGCCAGCUUACUAGCAAUGCUCCCAGAAUGCACCAUGACAAGCGGACUACUUUGAGUGAUCAUGGACCACGUUGGUUUUUGUCAGUCCCUUGGAUGCUCGUGCGUCUUCAGACUCUCUUGCGUGGCGCUAGCAACCUGAAUGGAUUUUUCCAACACGUUUGCAGCCAGAGUGUUGAAAUCUUGGUCCUGGAAGCUUUGCCUUCUUUUCCUGAUCUGUCACCUAGAGGGUGGUUUCAUUUUGAAAUAUUUUGGAAGUUCGCCUGGUUUUGCAGACUUUUAACUAUUUGUCUGGUAUGUGAAGUGUGGGGAGAGACCAAAGAAAGAGAAAGAACGUAGCUGACAUUAGACAUCUGAAAAAAAUAAUACAAAUUUGAAACAGGCACAUUAAAAAAAAAAGAA
Molecule: long non-coding RNA, 711 nt
Filed under: Rattus norvegicus (Norway rat)
Lineage: Eukaryota; Metazoa; Chordata; Mammalia; Rodentia; Muridae
Description: long non-coding RNA NONRATT008767
Source: RNAcentral